GGUUCUGUGGUAUAGUGGCUAAUACGUCUGCCUCACACGCAGAAGGUCGCGGGUUCAAUCCCCGCUAGAACCU
RNAcentral lists this transfer RNA (73 nucleotides) under Intoshia linei. It matches the Rfam family "tRNA". Rfam says of the family: Transfer RNA (tRNA) molecules are approximately 80 nucleotides in length. Their secondary structure includes four short double-helical elements and three loops (D, anti-codon, and T loops). The record is from Rfam by way of RNAcentral. Lineage: Eukaryota; Metazoa; Orthonectida; Rhopaluridae.